AUUGAACGCUGGCGGCAGGCCUAACACAUGCAAGUCGAGCGGAUGAAGGGAGCUUGCUCCUGGAUUCAGCGGCGGACGGGUGAGUAAUGCCUAGGAAUCUGCCUGGUAGUGGGGGAUAACGUCCGGAAACGGGCGCUAAUACCGCAUACGUCCUGAGGGAGAAAGUGGGGGAUCUUCGGACCUCACGCUAUCAGAUGAGCCUAGGUCGGAUUAGCUAGUUGGUGGGGUAAAGGCCUACCAAGGCGACGAUCCGCAACUGGUCUGAGAGGAUGACCAGGCACACUGGAACUGAGACACGGUCCAGACUCCUACGGGAGGCAGCAGUGGGGAAUAUUGGGCAAGGGGCGAAAGCCUGAUCCAGCCAUGCCGCGUGUGUGAAGAAGGUCUUCGGAUUGUAAAGCACUUUAAGUUGGGAGGAAGGGCAGUAAGUUAAUACCUUGCUAUUUUGACGUUACCAACAGAGUAAGCACCGGCUAACUUCGUG
RNAcentral lists this ribosomal RNA (484 nucleotides) under uncultured bacterium. RNAcentral's name for it is "partial 16S ribosomal RNA". It matches the Rfam family "Bacterial small subunit ribosomal RNA", at positions 30 to 507 of the family's 1533-position model. The record is from RNAcentral.